Molecule: ribosomal RNA, 253 nt
Filed under: uncultured bacterium
Lineage: Bacteria
Description: partial 16S ribosomal RNA
Rfam family: Bacterial small subunit ribosomal RNA
Source: RNAcentral
UACGGACUGUGCAAACGUUAUUCGGAAUCACUGGGCUUAAAGAGUCCGUAGGCGGCUUGUUAGGUGAGGUGUGAAAUCCCUCGGCCCAACCGAGGAAUUGCGCUUCAAACCGGCAAGCUAGAGGAGGAUAGAGGUGGGCGGAACUGAUGGUGGAGCGGUGAAAUGCGUAGAUAUUUGGAGGAACACCAAUGGCGAAGGCAGCCCCCUGGGUUAACACUGACGCUCAUGCACGAAAGCGUGGGGAGCAAACAGG